Anolis carolinensis (green anole) is the source of this 550-nucleotide long non-coding RNA. RefSeq lists it as uncharacterized. The record is from RefSeq and is a predicted model, not a curated record. The transcript has 2 exons. NCBI's taxonomy places the organism in Eukaryota, Metazoa, Chordata, Lepidosauria, Squamata, Anolidae.
CCCUCAGGUGCUGAUAGGUAGGAUAGCAGCCAGCUGCCUAGUUGUUACAUCACAAAUGCCUCAUCCUUUAAAGGUGCAUUAGCCCACUGCGUACCCUCAAGAAGCUCACAGACCAUCAGAAUAAGCAAGCUGACUCAGCCCAGGGGACAAAUGGAGCCCUCAUAACUGGGCACUAAGUGCAACCCAAACUGAGUGAAGAUGGCAAAACACAAAAGAUCAUGUGCUUGUGGAUCCAAACGCCACCAUCGAGGUGUCAGGAGGAAUAAAAAGAAGAAGAAGAAUUGUGCCAAGCAUCUAAUCAGUAAGAAUGGGUACGUGCGCAUUACGACCACCUGCCGUUACAAGAGAAAGUAGUCUGGUUUCUGAAAUACCUCAGAAAGGACUGUCUGGUUCAAACACCAUCCACCACAAAGCCAACUACUCAGUGAUGUGAACAGGGAUCAACAACAACAACAUCCAAGGGAACAUCAUAGUGUUCACAGCACAAGACCCUGGGACUGCUGCCUUGCUCUGGUAGCAAGCGAGCUUGCCAAUACAAUUGUAACAUGCA